UGUUAAAAAUUUCAUCCACUUGUUCUGUUAAAAACUAGUAUGGCUAACGGAAUAGUUAAACAGCAUCACAUGACAUAUCAUGUGUACCUCAUGCUAACAUACGGGGACUAGUUUUUAAUAGCAAAAUUGGAUAUAAUUUUCAACA
This is a non-coding RNA of Gossypium hirsutum (cotton), 145 nucleotides long. The record is from Rfam. NCBI's taxonomy places the organism in Eukaryota, Viridiplantae, Streptophyta, Magnoliopsida, Malvales, Malvaceae.